AGGGCGCACGGUGGAUGCCUUGGCACUAGAAGCCGAUGAAGGACGUUACUAACGACGAUAUGCUUUGGGGAGCUGUAAGUAAGCUUUGAUCCAGAGAUUUCCGAAUGGGGAAACCCAGCAUGAGUUAUGUCAUGUUAUCGAUAUGUGAAUACAUAGCAUAUCAGAAGGCACACCCGGAGAACUGAAACAUCUUAGUACCCGGAGGAAGAGAAAGAAAAUUCGAUUCCCUUAGUAGCGGCGAGCGAAACGGGAAGAGCCCAAACCAACAAGCUUGCUUGUUGGGGUUGUAGGACACUCUAUACGGAGUUACAAAGGACGACAUUAGACGAAUCAUCUGGAAAGAUGAAUCAAAGAAGGUAAUAAUCCUGUAGUCGAAAAUGUUGUCUCUCUUGAGUGGAUCCUGAGUACGACGGAGCACGUGAAAUUCCGUCGGAAUCUGGGAGGACCAUCUCCUAAGGCUAAAUACUCUCUAGUGACCGAUAGUGAACCAGUACCGUGAGGGAAAGGUGAAAAGCACCCCGGAAGGGGAGUGAAAUAGAACCUGAAACCGUGUGCUUACAAGUAGUCAGAGCCUGUUAAUGGGUGAUGGCGUGCCUUUUGUAGAAUGAACCGGCGAGUUACGAUUUGAUGCAAGGUUAAGCAGUAAAUGUGGAGCCGUAGCGAAAGCGAGUCUGAAUAGGGCGUUUAGUAUUUGGUCGUAGACCCGAAACCAGGUGAUCUACCCUUGGUCAGGUUGAAGUUCAGGUAACACUGAAUGGAGGACCGAACCGACUUACGUUGAAAAGUGAGCGGAUGAACUGAGGGUAGCGGAGAAAUUCCAAUCGAACCUGGAGAUAGCUGGUUCUCUCCGAAAUAGCUUUAGGGCUAGCCUCAAGUGAUGAUUAUUGGAGGUAGAGCACUGUUUGGACGAGGGGCCCCUCUCGGGUUACCGAAUUCAGACAAACUCCGAAUGCCAAUUAAUUUAACUUGGGAGUCAGAACAUGGGUGAUAAGGUCCGUGUUCGAAAGGGAAACAGCCCAGACCACCAGCUAAGGUCCCAAAAUAUAUGUUAAGUGGAAAAGGAUGUGGCGUUGCCCAGACAACUAGGAUGUUGGCUUAGAAGCAGCCAUCAUUUAAAGAGUGCGUAAUAGCUCACUAGUCGAGUGACACUGCGCCGAAAAUGUACCGGGGCUAAACAUAUUACCGAAGCUGUGGAUUGUCCUUUGGACAAUGGUAGGAGAGCGUUCUAAGGGCGUUGAAGCAUGAUCGUAAGGACAUGUGGAGCGCUUAGAAGUGAGAAUGCCGGUGUGAGUAGCGAAAGACGGGUGAGAAUCCCGUCCACCGAUUGACUAAGGUUUCCAGAGGAAGGCUCGUCCGCUCUGGGUUAGUCGGGUCCUAAGCUGAGGCCGACAGGCGUAGGCGAUGGAUAACAGGUUGAUAUUCCUGUACCACCUAUAAUCGUUUUAAUCGAUGGGGGGACGCAGUAGGAUAGGCGAAGCGUGCGAUUGGAUUGCACGUCUAAGCAGUAAGGCUGAGUAUUAGGCAAAUCCGGUACUCGUUAAGGCUGAGCUGUGAUGGGGAGAAGACAUUGUGUCUUCGAGUCGUUGAUUUCACACUGCCGAGAAAAGCCUCUAGAUAGAAAAUAGGUGCCCGUACCGCAAACCGACACAGGUAGUCAAGAUGAGAAUUCUAAGGUGAGCGAGCGAACUCUCGUUAAGGAACUCGGCAAAAUGACCCCGUAACUUCGGGAGAAGGGGUGCUCUUUAGGGUUAACGCCCAGAAGAGCCGCAGUGAAUAGGCCCAAGCGACUGUUUAUCAAAAACACAGGUCUCUGCUAAACCGUAAGGUGAUGUAUAGGGGCUGACGCCUGCCCGGUGCUGGAAGGUUAAGAGGAGUGGUUAGCUUCUGCGAAGCUACGAAUCGAAGCCCCAGUAAACGGCGGCCGUAACUAUAACGGUCCUAAGGUAGCGAAAUUCCUUGUCGGGUAAGUUCCGACCCGCACGAAAGGCGUAACGAUUUGGGCACUGUCUCAACGAGAGACUCGGUGAAAUCAUAGUACCUGUGAAGAUGCAGGUUACCCGCGACAGGACGGAAAGACCCCGUGGAGCUUUACUGUAGCCUGAUAUUGAAAUUCGGCACAGCUUGUACAGGAUAGGUAGGAGCCUUUGAAACGUGAGCGCUAGCUUACGUGGAGGCGCUGGUGGGAUACUACCCUAGCUGUGUUGGCUUUCUAACCCGCACCACUUAUCGUGGUGGGAGACAGUGUCAGGCGGGCAGUUUGACUGGGGCGGUCGCCUCCUAAAAGGUAACGGAGGCGCUCAAAGGUUCCCUCAGAAUGGUUGGAAAUCAUUCAUAGAGUGUAAAGGCAUAAGGGAGCUUGACUGCGAGACCUACAAGUCGAGCAGGGUCGAAAGACGGACUUAGUGAUCCGGUGGUUCCGCAUGGAAGGGCCAUCGCUCAACGGAUAAAAGCUACCCCGGGGAUAACAGGCUUAUCUCCCCCAAGAGUUCACAUCGACGGGGAGGUUUGGCACCUCGAUGUCGGCUCAUCGCAUCCUGGGGCUGUAGUCGGUCCCAAGGGUUGGGCUGUUCGCCCAUUAAAGCGGUACGCGAGCUGGGUUCAGAACGUCGUGAGACAGUUCGGUCCCUAUCCGUCGUGGGCGUAGGAAAUUUGAGAGGAGCUGUCCUUAGUACGAGAGGACCGGGAUGGACAUACCUCUGGUGUACCAGUUGUCGUGCCAACGGCAUAGCUGGGUAGCUAUGUGUGGACGGGAUAAGUGCUGAAAGCAUCUAAGCAUGAAGCCCCCCUCAAGAUGAGAUUUCCCAACUUCGGUUAU
Molecule: ribosomal RNA, 2815 nt
Filed under: Staphylococcus aureus
Lineage: Bacteria; Bacillati; Bacillota; Bacilli; Caryophanales; Staphylococcaceae
Description: bacterial LSU rRNA
Rfam family: Bacterial large subunit ribosomal RNA
Source: RNAcentral